Small nuclear RNA from Dipodomys ordii (Ord's kangaroo rat), 108 nucleotides. Lineage: Eukaryota; Metazoa; Chordata; Mammalia; Rodentia; Heteromyidae. The record is from Ensembl.
GUGCUCGCUUUGGCAGCACAUAUACUACAAUUGGAACAAUACAGAGAAGAUUACCAUGGACCCCUGCUCAAGGAUGACAUGCAAAUCCAUGAAGCAUUCCAUAUUUUU